Molecule: long non-coding RNA, 298 nt
Filed under: Elaeis guineensis (African oil palm)
Lineage: Eukaryota; Viridiplantae; Streptophyta; Magnoliopsida; Arecales; Arecaceae
Description: long non-coding RNA (EGUI_LNC074848)
Source: RNAcentral
UUCUCCCUCUCUCUCCAGCUCUUCUCCAUGCCCCAGGAGCAAGAAACCCUAGGGUUUCUUGCCGCCAGGCCCAAAAAGGAAAGAAAAGCAAAGGAGGUGCUAGCCCCUCUUCUCUUGCAGCCGCCAACCAGAUCCCUCUCUCCCUCUCUUGCAGCCACCCAAGCAGCAGGUCCAAGAUCUGAAAUCUCUUGCGAAGAGGUUGAUACAAGUCCCUCUCAGAUCUGGAGUUGAUCUGAGGUCGUUUGAGGCACGGGUGAGAUCUCCAUCAACAGAUCUACAGGAAAGGCUGCAGCAGGAC